Molecule: non-coding RNA, 31 nt
Filed under: Mus musculus (house mouse)
Lineage: Eukaryota; Metazoa; Chordata; Mammalia; Rodentia; Muridae
Source: RNAcentral
UGGGACCAUGGGCCUGUAGGAGGUUCACAAA